This is a long non-coding RNA of Homo sapiens (human), 1444 nucleotides long. Ensembl annotates it as long intergenic non-protein coding RNA 1837. Lineage: Eukaryota; Metazoa; Chordata; Mammalia; Primates; Hominidae. The record is from Ensembl.
GAAGGCUCUGUGGCAGGGAGUGGGAGGGUGAUUAACAGGGGAAGAAUUAGGAAAGAGGACACGCAAGACCACAGUAAGAGAUGGAAAUAAGAGAAUAUUCCUGAUUUCCACUGGAUGACUUUGACUGGUAUGAUUUCAUUCUCUGAAAGUGUUAACCAGGGUGCAGCAUGGCCAGAAACCAUUCCGAGCCUCAUGAAGUGGGCAAGUCAGGUUUGGUCAUUUUUGGUAAUGUCAUUGCAUGUACACAGUUUAAGACAGAGCAUCUGGUGAUUCUCGGACCUUCAAGCAAGUGUCACAUCUCAGGUGAACCUUGGCAGUUUUAAGAUGAACAAAGUAAUCAAAGCAAAAAUGUCAAAUAAUAAUAAUAAUAAUGAUAUCAGAAGAAUGUCCAGUGCCAUGGUUGGAUUCCCAGAAGGCAGCAUCUGCUCAUGCCAUCAACAACAUGGUGCCAUUUCAGUCAUCCUCUUUUUGUCCCAAAGACAGAAAAAAAAUAGAAAAAAGAAAGAGAAAAAGACACCACGAACCGUCUAUCCUCCUGGUAAUACAAAUACACCUGUAAAUAAACAUGUCAAUGUCUACACACAACGCACAUUUAUGCAGAAUCCAUCCUCUCGGUGCUUCCGUAGUUAUCAAGUAAAAGUCCUUCUAAGCCUAAGAAAUGAUAGUAUUAAUUCAGUCUUGGGGUGUGGGGGGAAAGGUGGACUAUCAUCAAAUAAAAAAGGCGAGGCUAAUUAAGUGACAUCCACUGGGGACUGGGAAAAGAAGAGACUUCUUGUGGGAAAGUAAUUAUAUCUUCAUUGACCCUCCUGGGGUACCCCCAGUGGCAGGGACUCUGCCUCGCGGUGUGACAUCUCCUUUCGGGAUGAGCAGCCAGUCACCUCGAGAAGCCCCCUUCUCCAUGGAUGCGUUUUCUAAUCAUUUCACAUGAUUGAGCCUCCAGCAAGUGAUGCUUUACUUAAUUCCUUUCCGCCUGUAGGGUGUGAGGUUUGGAGGGCCUCUCGUCAAAACUUUGGAGGGCUCUGUCAGUUUGAAAAGAACAUGACCUUUAAAUUGUAUCAGUAUGUUUGCUGGUGCAUAAGGGAGAGGAAAAGGUUCGUCCUGAUGGAAAACCACUCAGAAGCCAAGGAGUAAUUCAGAGGGAACCAGCCCAGGAAGAAUCAAGAAAGCUGCCCACAGUGUCAUUCUUCAGCUGAGAAAAGAGAGAGUUGACUAACUCCUCGGACUGGAGUGAGGACUCACAGAGGUGGUAGGACACUAACCAUCUAUGUCUCCAUUUCCUGGGUUGUAACACUGAGGUAGAACAUCUCACUGUCCCAUGGAGGAUUAUGUUAUUUUUGGAGAUUAAUAAUUUUGGAGGAAGAAAGGUGGCUUCCUGAAAAGGAAGUCACAUGAAGAAGCAACUUACACGGUGGUCUCUUUAAAUAAACAUAUUGUGACUAGACAA